GGACCUCAUGAGAGAUUACGAACGACGUCAGGUCCGCAAGGAGGAAGCGC
This 50-nucleotide non-coding RNA is filed under the name Thalassiosira rotula. The record is from RNAcentral. Lineage: Eukaryota; Bacillariophyta; Thalassiosirophyceae; Thalassiosirales; Thalassiosiraceae.